RNAcentral lists this ribosomal RNA (377 nucleotides) under uncultured bacterium. RNAcentral's name for it is "bacterial SSU rRNA". It matches the Rfam family "Bacterial small subunit ribosomal RNA", at positions 521 to 896 of the family's 1533-position model. The record is from RNAcentral.
UAAUACGGAGGGAGCAAGCGUUGUCCGGAAUCACUGGGCGUAAAGGGCAUGUAGGCUGGCAGUUAAGUCAGAAGUGAAAUCUACUCGCUUAACGAGUGAACUGCUUUUGAUACUGGCUGUCUUGAGUGCUGGAGAGGUGAGCGGAAUUCCAGGUGUAGCGGUGAAAUGUGUAGAUAUCUGGAAGAACACCGGUGGCGAAGGCUGCUCUCUGGCCAGAUACUGACGCUGAAAUGCGAAAGCGUGAGGAGCGAACAGGAUUAGAUACCCUGGUAGUCCACGCCCUAAACGAUGGAUACUAGGUGUUGGGGGUGUCGACCCCCUCAGUGCCGCAGCUAACGCAUUAAGUAUCCCGCCUGGGGAGUACGAUCGCAAGGUUG